AUUGAACGCUGGCGGCAUGCUUUACACAUGCAAGUCGAACGGUAACAGGCCGCAAGGUGCUGACGAGUGGCGAACGGGUGCGUAAUGCAUCGGAACGUGCCCAGUCGUGGGGGAUAACUACUCGAAAGAGUAGCUAAUACCGCAUACGAUCUAUGGAUGAAAGCGGGGGACCGUAAGGCCUCGCGCGAUUGGAGCGGCCGAUGUCAGAUUAGGUAGUUGGUGGGGUAAAGGCUCACCAAGCCAACGAUCUGUAGCUGGUCUGAGAGGACGACCAGCCACACUGGGACUGAGACACGGCCCAGACUCCUACGGGAGGCAGCAGUGGGGAAUUUUGGACAAUGGGCGCAAGCCUGAUCCAGCAAUGCCACGUGCAGGAAGAAGGCCUUCGGGUUGUAAACUGCUUUUGUACGGAACGAAACGGCUCUGGUUAAUACCCGGGGCUAAUGACGGUACCGUAAGAAUAAGCACCGGCUAACUACGUG
This 482-nucleotide ribosomal RNA is filed under the name uncultured bacterium. RNAcentral's name for it is "partial 16S ribosomal RNA". It matches the Rfam family "Bacterial small subunit ribosomal RNA", at positions 30 to 507 of the family's 1533-position model. The record is from RNAcentral.